ACAGCAGCAUACUGCAUAUCAUUGAUGACAGUGUACAAACUGUAUAUCAACCAGAACGCCACAGUACAGCAGAGGGUUUCGGAUUUCAGUCAGCAGUCACCCAGAGUACAGUCUUUCCAAAACUGGUUACCAAGGCAACAAGGAAUCUUAAUCCAGCAACAAAAACCAUGCAUGUACAUCUCCAUAAUUUCUCAAUAUCUCCUCAUUAACCCCCAUGAUAUUUAGAGGUAAUACUACAUUCAAAAUACUCAAUUAACCUCUCCCAAAAGAAGAAGCCCAAGGAAAAUAGUGGUAAGAUAAAGAUGCACCCUUGAGGGGCAGCUCCUACACCCUGGCGGAGCACCUCUGUCAGAUAAGGAAGCAAACGAGGAGGAGGAGAUGUUUCGUGAAGUGCUGCAAUAGUCAGAUCAGGCGAAUAGUGAGCACAGAUUGUGGAGAGAUACAAUAAAUGAAAAACUAGAAAUGGUUAGCCAGGAGAGGAGACGGCCAGGAGCUGAUAAUAAAGGGUCAGGAGCAGAUAAUAAAGCUCAUGGAGGAACAAACAGAGAUGCUGAGGUCCCUUGAUUGCAUUGCAGGUGGAGCACAUGCAUGCUUGACUCCCCCUGCUACCCAUACAGAGCUGCCUUCCUUGCCCUCCCCAAACUCUCCACACACAUUCCUCUCACAUUCCUGGCCCAUCACAGUACCCCUUGCA
Mauremys mutica (yellowpond turtle) is the source of this 694-nucleotide long non-coding RNA. RefSeq lists it as uncharacterized. Lineage: Eukaryota; Metazoa; Chordata; Testudines; Geoemydidae. The record is from RefSeq and is a predicted model, not a curated record. The transcript is spliced from 3 exons.